GACGAACGCUGGCGGCGAGCCUAACACAUGCAAGUCGAACGGAGAUAUGAUUUCGGUUAUAUCUUAGUGGCGAACGGGUGAGUAACGCGUGAGCAACCUGACCUUCAGAGGGGGAGUAACACUUGGAAACAGGUGCUAAUACCGCAUAAGACCACGACCCGACAUCGGGAUGCGGUCAAAGGAGCAAUCCGCUGAGGGAGGGGCUCGCGUCCCAUUAGAUAGAUGGCGGGGUAACGGCCCACCAUGUCGACGAUGGGUAGCCGAGCUGAGAGGCUGAUCGGCCACACUGGAACUGAGACACGGUCCAGACUCCUACGGGAGGCAGCAGUGGGGAAUAUUGGGCAAUGGGCGCAAGCCUGACCCAGCAACGCCGCGUGAGGG
This 381-nucleotide ribosomal RNA is filed under the name uncultured bacterium. RNAcentral's name for it is "bacterial SSU rRNA". It matches the Rfam family "Bacterial small subunit ribosomal RNA", at positions 28 to 407 of the family's 1533-position model. The record is from RNAcentral.